RNAcentral lists this ribosomal RNA (276 nucleotides) under uncultured bacterium. RNAcentral describes it as "partial 16S ribosomal RNA". It matches the Rfam family "Bacterial small subunit ribosomal RNA", at positions 773 to 1047 of the family's 1533-position model. The record is from RNAcentral.
UAGGAUUAGAUAACCCUGGUAGUCCACGCCGUAAACGAUGAGUGCUAGGUGUUAGGCCCUUUCCGGGGCUUAGUGCCGCAGCUAACGCAUUAAGCACUCCGCCUGGGGAGUACGACCGCAAGGUUGAAACUCAAAGGAAUUGACGGGGGCCCGCACAAGCGGUGGAGCAUGUGGUUUAAUGGGAAGCAACGCGAAGAACCUUACCAGGUCUUGACAUCCCUCUGACCGCUGGAGAGAUAGAGUUUCCUUCGGACGGGAGGGACAGGGUGCAUUUUG